AAUUGGAAUCAGAAUGUUCUUCUGUGAUUACUUUAAGUUACGCUUUUUAAUAGUUUUUAUAUAAGUUUUCAUCAAUAUUAUGUACGUAUUCUAUGCAGAAUAACUUUCUCUACUGUAUAUAGCCUCAUUAUCUCUGUGUCGUAUUGUGAAAUAAAUAUAUUUAAAACGAAAGGAGAGUUUUGCAUUGAGUCAUAACAUACUCUGUAUAGCAAUUACUAUUGGUUCGAAAUACUCCCGACAUAACAAAUUAUGAAGGGAACCAACCGUUAUUACACCAAAGGAAUUACGAGAACUGCGAAGAAUUCCAUUGCAGCUCUUUUAAAAAUUUGGGUUAUAAUAGUAUAUCAAUUCAGAGCAUAGAAGAUAUUCAAUAUCAUCAGUUAUUAAAUAGACAUCCGGCACUUGAGAAAGCAUAUAGAUGAAUGGUAUAAAGGCUGUUCUCUAAGAAAAUUAAAAGUUUGUGAAGAAUAUUUAAAAAAAAUAGACAAAUUAUUCAAAAUAUUUUAAUUUAAUUGUAUUUGCAUGUGUAUUUUUAUAUUUGUAUUACCACAUGUAUUGUUCAUAUAAUAAAAUUUUUUUAACUAUUA
This is a long non-coding RNA of Argiope bruennichi, 587 nucleotides long. RefSeq lists it as uncharacterized. The transcript is spliced from 3 exons. The record is from RefSeq and is a predicted model, not a curated record. Lineage: Eukaryota; Metazoa; Arthropoda; Arachnida; Araneae; Araneidae.